This 138-nucleotide ribosomal RNA is filed under the name uncultured bacterium. Its description in RNAcentral is "partial 16S ribosomal RNA". It matches the Rfam family "Bacterial small subunit ribosomal RNA", at positions 355 to 508 of the family's 1533-position model. The record is from RNAcentral.
UGGGGAAUCUUGCGCAAUGGGCGAAAGCCUGACGCAGCCAUGCCGCGUGAAUGAUGAAGGUCUUAGGAUUGUAAAAUUUUUUCACCGGGGACGAUAAUGACGGUACCCGGAGAAGAAGCGACCGGCUAACUUUCGUGC